GGAUUAAAGUUUAAUUUUUUAAAUAUCUAAAUUGCAAUUAGAAGAAUGUAAUAUAAAUCUACUAAUCUUAA
RNAcentral lists this transfer RNA (71 nucleotides) under Mesohomotoma hibisci. RNAcentral's name for it is "tRNA-Ala". The record is from RNAcentral. Lineage: Eukaryota; Metazoa; Arthropoda; Insecta; Hemiptera; Carsidaridae.